GCUGGAUGCAUAUCACAUACACACAUACUUUACAUGUAAUUCUCUCAGAUACCCAUGAGGAGGUGGGUGGGGCCAGAACAAGUGUAUCUGGAUUAAUGUGCUUAUUUUUAUUAAAUAAAGUAUUAAUACAGAGGGAACUUGAACAUAGCAUUUGCUUACUUAAUUAAUAACCGUAUCCAGGAAGUUCCUUUUAUCCAAUCAUGAUUGGAAAUCAUAAUUUCUGCAGCCCUAAUCUUUUACUAAUUGGUAUGGUUGGUAUCUAGGAUGCUAGCCAAUCAUUGUUCUUGAUUUAUUUAAAUUAUCCAAUCAGAUUGUUAAUUACAGUCUUUGUUUUAUCACAAGCGCUCUUGAUCACUUUUGAAUUUGCACAAAGCGUGUGCAGGCUGCUUUUCAUAUUCCAGUUACAAUUCUAUUUUAUUCCCACCCACCACAGCCCUCGCAAUACUUGUGUGUAUGUUGAUUUUGUUUUUUUUAUAUGACUAUAUGUUGUCAUUGUAUGUGUCACCUAUUUGUAGUUUUUGUUUAUUUGAUGAUAUUGUAUUUUAAUGUGUAUCAGUAGAUUAGUUUCCAUUUUCAUGAUAACCACAGUUGUUAUUAGGCUUUCAGCUUCUUGUAUGGAGUACCACAGACUUAUCAGUGAAUUGAUAUUUGCGAAACAAUUGACUUUUUAUGAUUCUUUCAUUGUUCAUUGUCAUGUUUAUUAUAUAAUGAAAGAAAUUAAUAAAACUGUGGUUAGUUUGCCCAA
This 745-nucleotide long non-coding RNA is filed under the name Mytilus galloprovincialis (Mediterranean mussel). The record is from RNAcentral. Lineage: Eukaryota; Metazoa; Mollusca; Bivalvia; Mytilida; Mytilidae.